Molecule: ribosomal RNA, 492 nt
Filed under: uncultured bacterium
Lineage: Bacteria
Description: partial 16S ribosomal RNA
Rfam family: Bacterial small subunit ribosomal RNA
Source: RNAcentral
AGUGAACGCUGGCGGUAGGCCUAACACAUGCAAGUCGAACGGCAGCACAGUAAGAGCUUGCUCUUACGGGUGGCGAGUGGCGGACGGGUGAGGAAUACAUCGGAAUCUACUUUUUCGUGGGGGAUAACGUAGGGAAACUUACGCUAAUACCGCAUACGACCUACGGGUGAAAGCAGGGGAUCUUCGGACCUUGCGCGAUUGAAUGAGCCGAUGUCGGAUUAGCUAGUUGGCGGGGUAAAGGCCCACCAAGGCGACGAUCCGUAGCUGGUCUGAGAGGAUGAUCAGCCACACUGGAACUGAGACACGCUCCAGACUCCUACGGGGGGCAACAGUGGGGAAUAUUGGACAAUGGGCGCAAGCCUGAUCCAGCCAUACCGCGUGGGUGAAGAAGGCCUUCGGGUUGUAAAGCCCUUUUGUUGGGAAAGAAAAGCAGCAGGUUAAUACCCCGCUGUUCUGACGGUACCCAAAGAAUAAGCACCGGCUAACUUCGUG